Molecule: ribosomal RNA, 484 nt
Filed under: uncultured bacterium
Lineage: Bacteria
Description: partial 16S ribosomal RNA
Rfam family: Bacterial small subunit ribosomal RNA
Source: RNAcentral
AUUGAACGCUGGCGGCAGGCCUAACACAUGCAAGUCGAGCGGAUGAAGGGAGCUUGCUCCUGGAUUCAGCGGCGGACGGGUGAGUAAUGUCUAGGAAUCUGCCUGGUAGUGGGGGAUAACGUCCGGAGACGGGCGCUAAUACCGCAUACGUCCUGAGGGAGAAAGUGGGGGAUCUUCGGACCUCACGCUAUCAGAUGAGCCUAGGUCGGAUUAGCUAGUUGGUGGGGUAAAGGCCUACCAAGGCGACGAUCCGUAACUGGUCUGAGAGGAUGAUCAGUCACACUGGAACUGAGACACGGUCCAGACUCCUACGGGAGGCAGCAGUGGGGAAUAUUGGACAAUGGGCGAAAGCCUGAUCCAGCCAUGCCGCGUGUGUGAAGAAGGUCUUCGGAUUGUAAAGCACUUUAAGUUGGGAGGAAGGGCAGUAAGUUAAUACCUUGCUGUUUUGACGUUACCAACAGAAUAAGCACCGGCUAACUUCGUG